RNAcentral lists this ribosomal RNA (495 nucleotides) under uncultured bacterium. RNAcentral describes it as "partial 16S ribosomal RNA". It matches the Rfam family "Bacterial small subunit ribosomal RNA", at positions 28 to 507 of the family's 1533-position model. The record is from RNAcentral.
GACGAACGCUGGCGGCGUGCCUAAUACAUGCAAGUAGAACGCUGAAGGAGGAGCUUGCUUCUCUGGAUGAGUUGCGAACGGGUGAGUAACGCGUAGGUAACCUGCCUGGUAGCGGGGGAUAACUAUUGGAAACGAUAGCUAAUACCGCAUAAGAGUAGAUGUUGCAUGACAUUUGCUUAAAAGGUGCAAUUGCAUCACUACCAGAUGGACCUGCGUUGUAUUAGCUAGUUGGUGGGGUAACGGCUCACCAAGGCGACGAUACAUAGCCGACCUGAGAGGGUGAUCGGCCACACUGGGACUGAGACACGGCCCAGACUCCUACGGGAGGCAGCAGUAGGGAAUCUUCGGCAAUGGACGGAAGUCUGACCGAGCAACGCCGCGUGAGUGAAGAAGGUUUUCGGAUCGGAAAGCUCGGUUGUAAGAGAAGAACGAGUGUGAGAGUGGAAAGUUCACACUGUGACGGUAUCUGACCAGAAAGGGACGGCUAACUACGUG